AUUCCAUGGAAUAUCAGAUGAAAAGACCGGAAAAUAUUGAUGGAUUUCGGCAAUUAAACGUGAUGGAUGGUGCCUGACCAAAAUACACACACGCCUGUGUAGCGAUCGCUUCAUUUCAGUAAAUCCUUGGCCCGGAUCGAGCACCGCCGAGCCGGACACCUCACCACGGGAAACAUGGACGCUGCAGCUACCUGUCACAAUUGAUCAAUUCGUUAACGAUACGCUAUUGGUGACGCUGACCUAUCGAGAUAGGAGCUAUACGGGGAUAUUACUUGACGGCAACAAAAAUCACUCCCACCUGUCCAUACUGCUUUCCUUGGAGACCUUUACUGCAGUACUACAAUAAGAGGAGAGACACUGAAAUUCGUCAUCAACUUCGAUUUACAUGAUCAGUGAGAAGUUUCCAG
Long non-coding RNA from Syngnathoides biaculeatus (alligator pipefish), 407 nucleotides. RefSeq lists it as uncharacterized. The transcript has 3 exons. The record is from RefSeq and is a predicted model, not a curated record. NCBI's taxonomy places the organism in Eukaryota, Metazoa, Chordata, Actinopteri, Syngnathiformes, Syngnathidae.